RNAcentral lists this ribosomal RNA (253 nucleotides) under uncultured bacterium. RNAcentral describes it as "partial 16S ribosomal RNA". It matches the Rfam family "Bacterial small subunit ribosomal RNA", at positions 524 to 776 of the family's 1533-position model. The record is from RNAcentral.
CACGAGGGGUCCUAGCGUUGUUCGGAAUCACUGGGCGUAAAGCGUAUGUAGGCGGGCUUUUAAGUCAGGUGUGAAAUCCCAUGGCUCAACCAUGGAAUUGCAUUUGAAACUGGAAGUCUUGAGUGUGGGAGAGAUUGGUAGAAUACCUGGUGUAGUGGUGAAAUACGUAGAUAUCAGGUGGAAUACCGGUGGCGAAGGCGGCCAAUUGGCCCAACACUGACGCUGAGAUACGAAAGCGUGGGGAUCAAACAGG